GGAUGAUACAGUGCCUACAGCCUUGGGUUUCUGGCUCCAUGCAGAACAAGGGGCUAUUUCUGUUCUUCUGGUCAAUUGAAGCCUUUACAGUUGCUCUAUUAAUGAAUGCUCAAGAUCCUUCUGGCCAUUUCCUGCUCCAGGGAAAGAACUGAUCAGUCAUUAUAAGAGCUGAAUUGUCUUUCCCAUGCCACAUGACACAGUACUACAUGAGAAAACCAGCAGCUGACAUGUCUAUAGAGAUCAUUCUGUACCAGAAACAGCUCCAGGUAUGGUGGGUAUGUAUACAGCAUGCUCUUUUACACCUAGGGUCCUCUGUCACAGAUAAAUGACUGUUUAUAUGUUCUACAGGAGGUGACUGGAUCUCUAAGUGUUUAAGGUCACACUCUAAGGAAGUGGCAGUGGGUAGAAUUUGAUUCAGAGUUCAAAUUGGUAACCAAUUCUCCUGGAGAUUUAUUAUCAUUAUUGCGGCUGUCUGAGCAGUCUUGGCACAUGUCUUUAAUCCAGCCACUUGGGAGGUAGAGACAAUCAGUUUUCUGAGUCAGAGGGCAUCCUGGUGUACAGAAUAGGUUCUGGGGCAGCCAGGUGUACACAGAUGAAAGCUGC
This 603-nucleotide long non-coding RNA is filed under the name Rattus norvegicus (Norway rat). RNAcentral describes it as "long non-coding RNA NONRATT033137". The record is from RNAcentral. Lineage: Eukaryota; Metazoa; Chordata; Mammalia; Rodentia; Muridae.